AACUUUCAACAACGGAUCUCUUGGCUCUCGCAUCGAUGAAGAACGCAGCGAAAUGCGAUAAGUAAUGUGAAUUGCAGAAUUCAGUGAAUCAUCGAAUCUUUGAACGCACCUUGCGCCCCUUGGUAUUCCGAGGGGCAUGCCCGUUUGAGUGUCA
This 154-nucleotide ribosomal RNA is filed under the name Phellinus bicuspidatus. RNAcentral's name for it is "5.8S ribosomal RNA". It matches the Rfam family "5.8S ribosomal RNA". From Rfam's summary of the family: 5.8S ribosomal RNA (5.8S rRNA) is a component of the large subunit of the eukaryotic ribosome. RNAcentral also lists the same sequence under 1 other name. The record is from RNAcentral. Lineage: Eukaryota; Fungi; Basidiomycota; Agaricomycetes; Hymenochaetales; Hymenochaetaceae.